AAGUGGGCGGUGGCUGAAAGGGGGCUCUGGACACAGCUUCCCACAGGACCUGCUGGGUGGCUCUUCUUGGAAGCUGUCAGCACCUUGGGGAGCCAGACACCAAACACCAGGACCAGCUGUGCUUGCAUGCUGAAUACAUUCCUGCAUUCUUGGGGGUGGGGGAGAAUGAGCCGGAAUGUCAGGGCCCUGACAGCAAGGCUGCCGAGGCUACCGGGCACCUGUGUCCACCUUCAGUGGGUCUCCCUGUGGUCUGCCACAUGGACCUGGUGUCCAGGUUCACACUGGGCACAGCUGGGAGGAAAGAGCUUGGGGGUCAGGAUCCAGUGUCCUUGAGGGCUGGCUGUGGUCAUUCUGGAGGUCACUCAGUAAUUGUGGGAUGCCACUGACCUGUCUGUGGGAGGGUGGCCGAGGUGCUCUCAGAAUCUGUCCUGGGCACAGUGGGGCUGCUCUGUGGGGUAUAGGGCCUGAGGGGCUCUCGACGCCCUGGAGGGACUGGAGAUACCAGAUGCUGUGCUCAUGCUGCCUGUGCCUCCCUUGGGCUGGGACAAAGUGGAGGCUGCUGUGGGGGCCUGGCCUCAGGUCACAGCCCCAUGGGCACCUGAGCAAGACCAGCCAAUGCAUCUUUUCUCUGGGGGCCGGAAGGAGUCUGGGAUGAGGACUCUGAACAGGGGCUGUAGCUCAGGGACCUCAACACCCCACCACCCCAGCCAGGCUGAAUGUGCGUUUGAUAGUGGGGCAAGUCAGCAGCCAGGCUGGCUGUGUGUCCCCAUUGCGGGGCCUGGUGACUGCAUGUCACUCCUUCUACUCCCCACAGUAACCGUGUGACUGGUGUGUACGAGCUCAGCCUGUGCCACGUGGCUGACGCGGGCAGCCCAGGGAUGCAGCGCCGGCGCCGACGAGUCCUGGACACAUCUGUGGCCUAUGUCCGGGGCGAGGAGAACCUGGCAGGCUGGAGGCCCCGGAGCGACAGUCUCAUUCUGGACCACCAGUGGGAGCUAGAGAAGCUGAGCCUCCUGCAGGAGGUGGAGAAGACCAGGCACUACCUGCUCCUGCGGGAGAAGCUGGAGACCGCCCAGCGGCCUGUCCCAGAGGCACUGUCCCCGGCCUUCAGCGAGGACUCUGAGUCCCAUGGCUCCUCCAGCGCCUCCUCCCCGCUCUCGGCUGAGGGCCACCCAUCACCCCUGGAGGCUCCCAACGAGAGGCAGCGGGAGCUGGCCGUCAAGUGCUUGCGCCUGCUCAUGCACACAUUCAACAGAGAGUACACACACAGCCACGUCUGCGUCAGUGCCAGCGAGAGCAAGCUCUCCGAGAUGUCUGUCACCCUGCUCCGGGACCCGUCGAUGUCCCCUCUAGGGGCGGCCACUCUCACCCCCUCCUCCACUUGCCCCUCUCUGGUUGAAGGGCGGUACGGUGCCACUGACCUGAGGACCCCGCAGCCCUGCUCCCGGCCAGCCAGCCCAGAGCCUGAGCUGCUGCCAGAGGCCGACUCCAAGAAGCUCCCUUCCCCUGCCCGGGCAACAGAGACAGACAAGGAGCCCCAGCGCCUGCUGGUCCCUGACAUCCAGGAGAUCCGAGUCAGCCCGAUCGUCUCCAAGAAGGGGUACCUGCACUUCCUGGAGCCGCACACGUCGGGCUGGGCCAGGCGCUUCGUGGUGGUGCGGCGCCCCUAUGCCUACAUGUACAACAGCGACAAGGACACCGUGGAGCGGUUCGUGCUGAACCUGGCCACUGCCCAGGUGGAGUACAGCGAGGACCAGCAGGCUAUGCUCAAGACACCCAACACAUUCGCAGUGUGCACGGAACACCGCGGCAUCCUGCUGCAGGCUGCCAGCGACAAGGACAUGCAUGACUGGCUGUACGCCUUCAACCCCCUCCUGGCCGGGACCAUACGGUCCAAGCUCUCCAGAAGGAGGUCUGCCCAGAUGCGGGUCUGAACCUGAGCCCUCCCGUGACAGCCGGCAGGCCCAGCCCAUCCCCACCCUCAUCCUCGUCUGUCCUGUCACCUGCCGCCCAGCUCCUCUCCUGCCAGACAGCCCACGACCGGGUCGACCCCCCAGGGGACGCCCUUUCCAGGCCCGGGGACCUGUGCCACACGACCAGCUGUGCUCCCAGCAGAGGCUGCGCGUGUCAGUUCUUGCAGAAUGUGCUCUGGUGGAACAAGCUGGGAGAGGCUGGGGGGGCCAAGGGCGCAGGUUACGGGGGUUCUUGCUGCCGUUCUAAUAUUUUUUUAAGCAUAGACAGACUUAUAAUUAAUAUACGUUAGUUAGUGACAUUGAAACAGUCAACUCGGAAAUUAACUAUAAGACUUGUUCUAUUUAUAAGUAUUUAUUUCUAAUGCCUCCACAUAGCCCUGUAAUAUUCAGAUGGAACCCCCAACAACCUCCACCCCGUUUGUUCCCACGUGUGUCUCCCAAGCCUGCUAGGGACAGGCAGGGCAGGGACAGCCACUUUGGAAGGCCACAGUGAGGAGCUGUCUGGACCAGUGGGGCACCUUGGGGCUAGCACACGGGUGCAUUGCCUGGGCCCCAGGCUUCUCCAUAGCCACAUGGGUCCUGGGUGUAUGUGUGGGAGGGUGGGGGGGUGUCUUUGGUGCCUGAAGUCUGUGCAGCAUGGAGGGUGGUGUGAGUUCCUCUGGUGGGAGGUAGAAUGCACAUCUCUUCUGGGCGGCCACCUGAGAUGUGACUCUAAGAAGAGUUCCAGCAGCUUCCCCCAGGAAAGGGUGAGGGGUGACACUCGGCUCUGGCUCUGAGAUGAGGCAGACGGCACCCAGGCUGUGAUCUGUCCUGGGCGGGGACCGGGAGGGAGCGGGGUCGGGAUCACCCGCCAGUGUGCAGACUAUGGGGCUGUGUGCUGUCUCCGGACCAUCAGGGCAGGGUGAGACCAGGAAGUCAGGGAAGGUCGGAAUUCAGGGCGACGGUCUAGGUGUCGAGGGCUGUGGCACAGCCUCUUCAGCUGCAGCGAGAAAUGGAGUGAGCUCAAGGUAGCUUCUGGGAAGAAAUUCUGCCAUUAGCAGGUUUCUUGCAAAGACUUUCCUCUCUUUGUUCCCAGGGCAGAGAGUUUCUGUGAGUCCCAUUGAGAAAAUCCCACGGGGUGGGGGUAUCCUGGUCGGUCGGCAAUGGAGGGUGGCUGGCUCGGUGGUUAUUGUCUUCAAGGAGCUCUUCCUUCUGCAUCUGCGGUGUCCCUUUGUUCUUGUCCCAUUUCACCCCCUCUGCAGACACCAAUGUCCGAGGGCCACCCAGGACAGGACAGGGGUCAGCCCCAAGCUGAGAGUCUGGUCAUAGGAGUCAUGUCCAGAGGCCUAGGGAGAUUUUAGGGCCCUCCCCACCCACACCCACAGGUCGAUUUGGUCUCUUUUUAGCUCAAGGAAAGACAGUAGCCAAGCAACAGAGCCCCUCUCCCGCCAUGGCCUGUGGGAGCAGUUACGUCGGGUCUGGUGCUCCAGACCUAGGGCCCAGCACUUUCAUCAGAUCCUGCCUCCUGGAGUGGGGGAGAUGCAGCACCCCACUGGUUCUGAGGCCCCUACUCUCCCAGGCUGUCCCAUGUGAUGUUGACAUGAGCCUCAGAGACCCCAAUCCCAUGCCUGGGGGAGAGACAGCGGCUCAGGAGUGGGGGAGCGUGGGGCUUCUACACCACAUGGGAAGGCUCUGGCAUGAGGUUUUCCUUUGGGAAGGUUGUUUGGGCCCCUGAAGUUCCAUCUCCGAGAGUGGCGUGCAGGGCAGGCCAGGGCCCAUGCUGGCUGCGGUCUCUGUGGUUGCCUGCCUGGGCCAGCCUGUUUGGGAGCUGGGACUGUGGGCUCGCCUUUUCGUACCUGGGCUCAGGUGCGGUGUGGCCACCGCCACCCUCAUCCCCUGCCUGGGAGGCUUUCCCAGGGGCUGAUGGGGGUUUCUGUGAGGGAGAAUCAGGGCUCGGGAAGCCACGUCAGGGAAGGCAGGACACAGGACACAGCAGCUUUCUUUGGAAAUCUCCCAGGUGAGGAUUCACAUCCCAGAAUAAAAUUCAGAAGCCAGGUGGCCUGUGCUCCCCAUGGGUGUCCUCUGGAGGCAGUGGGCUAAGACGCAGAGAGGAGAGAAUGCAGAGCAGCUUCUUGCAGAAGCACCUGCUCCAGCAUCCAGGGCUGCCUGGAGGCAGGAAGGAGAGGCAGGGCAGGACAUACUGGUCUGAGAUGAGUGGGAGCCCCACGGGCCCCAGGCAGGCUAGAGGAGGCACAGGCCCUGCCGCGGCCAACUCAGGUCAGCCAGCCUGAGGCUGCGGACUCCAAAGGGUCUGGGCGCGCCCCCCAGGUCGCAGGUGUCUGAGGCCAGCCAACCUGCAGAGAACUCGCGGCAUGGGUGGGCUGAGCGGAGGUGCCUGGGAGCUGCCUAAAUUCAGAAGCCUCCACUGCCAUGGAGACUGCCUGGCUGUGUCCUCUCAGCCAGGUGCCGUGUUGGCCUUGGCUAGGACCCAGAGCCACACUGCAGCCUCCACCGACUCCCUCCUUCCAGGCCUGCUCUAGUGAGGAGUGCCUGAGCCAGGACCCAGAAACUCAGAGUUGAUGGUGAGAGGAGGCCGCCUGAGUCAGGACACCUGGCUUCUUGAAAGUUCGCUCUGCCAGAAACCACCUAGGGAUCACGUUAGCUGCAUUCCUUGAGCUCCCCAGGAGUCGGUUUCCACAUCUGUGAGGUGGAGGGCUGGUGUGGAGGUGCUCAUGGGGUGCGGUGCUCAGGAGACAGCCAGGCCCAGCAUGGCUGCUGCUUCCUGCUAAGUGGGGAAGGUGAGACAGAUCUGGAAAACCGUCUCUCUCAGAUGGUUUCAUUUAAUGCUUUAUACUGCCGAGUCUGGGGGCUUGUUUUGGUUUGGGGGCAGCCAUCUUCCACCAGAAAGGGGGAGCUCCUUCCACUGCGGCUCCAGAUAGAUGGGGAUGCCGGGCUCCAGGCCGACCAGCACUUGGGCUCUGAUGGGACACGGCCAGUGCCUAGGGGUGCCAAGUCCAAGGCCUCCCACUGGGAGUCAUCGCUUGGAAGAUGCCAAUGUUUCAUUCACCGGCUGCACAGGCACAAACUCCCCCACCCAGGACGGCUGUGAUGAGGUGGCCCUCCCUGUCAACCUGGUCCCUGGAGUCCCCAGCACCUGGGGCCCUGGUGGGGCUGAUGUCACAGGUGUUUACUGUGCUGCUGCACUGGUCCUAUGCCAGCCUCACCCGUGUGGGGACCACAGAAGGCACACUCCCUUACCCCCGGUGCCGGGCCGUGCGUCCCCGAGAUGGACAGCAGCUGUGGCGACCCGCGUUUCUCCCUGGGCCUGUGCUUCCUGUAGUUAGUCCGUCCCCUGGUUUCCCCGUGGCUCAGAGGCCGCGUCCCUGGCUUGUACAUACGUGAUUGCUGUGGGCACACCCCAGACCCCAUGUCAUAGCUGCCGUCCCGACGUCACAACGCCCGUCCCGAUGUCUUACACCCGAGUGUUAGCCCUAGGCUCCUGUACUGUGUGUGCACUUGAGGCUCUGUCCAAUUACGAAAUAAAUGUGGCUCUUACCCAACACACUC
This 5519-nucleotide small RNA is filed under the name Pongo abelii (Sumatran orangutan). RNAcentral's name for it is "retained intron". The record is from RNAcentral. Lineage: Eukaryota; Metazoa; Chordata; Mammalia; Primates; Hominidae.